AAUAUAUAUAUAUAUUUAAUCAAGUCCCCCUUUCUCAAGGGUUUAGUACAUCUUGAAAUUUGAUAUCUUCCACUCCAGCAUCGUGAUCUCUUACAUAUGCAAUGUGGUAUUAACCUACUUCCUUCAAAUAUUCUUGAAAUGAGAACCCUUCUUCUUUGCCACCGAAAUUUUUGUAAGACACCCAUUUAGCAUGUCGUGGGUUGAGCAUUAAGACAAUGAAUUGCCUCAUGAUCAGAGUUCUAUACAAAUGCUGCAUUUUCAGUAACACUCUUGCAAUAGGCAGCACCGAGGAACGUACACUGGAGCACGACGUUUCAUCAUCAACAUACUCAUAGUAUAUUGGAGGAGAAUUC
This 353-nucleotide long non-coding RNA is filed under the name Malus domestica (apple). Its description in RNAcentral is "long non-coding RNA (MDOM_LNC016028)". Lineage: Eukaryota; Viridiplantae; Streptophyta; Magnoliopsida; Rosales; Rosaceae. The record is from RNAcentral.